GUGGGGAAUAUUGGACAAUGGGCGAAAGCCUGACGGAGCAACGCCGCGUGAGUGAAGACGGCCUUCGGGUUGUAAAGCUCUGUUAUAUGGGACGAACGUAUUUAUGGCCAAUACCCAUAGAUAGUGACGGUACCGUAAGAGAAAGCCACGGCUAACUACGUGCCAGCAGCCGCGGUAAUACGUAGGUGGCAAGCGUUGUCCGGAAUUAUUGGGCGUAAAGGGCGCGCAGGCGGCCUGUCAAGUCUGUCUUAAAAGUGCGGGGCUCAACCCCGUGAUGGGACGGAAACUGGCAGGCUGGAGUGUCGGAGAGGAAAGCAGAAUUCCUAGUGUAGCGGUGAAAUGCGUAGAUAUUAGGAGGAAUACCAGUGGCGAAAGCGGCUUUCUGGACGACAACUGACGCUGAGGCGCGAAAGCCAGGGGAGCAAACGGGAUUAGAUACCCGAGUAGUCC
This 450-nucleotide ribosomal RNA is filed under the name uncultured bacterium. RNAcentral describes it as "partial 16S ribosomal RNA". It matches the Rfam family "Bacterial small subunit ribosomal RNA", at positions 354 to 796 of the family's 1533-position model. The record is from RNAcentral.